AAAAAGACAAACCCUAGGUUUUCGUGUCAACGUUUGACUGUCCGUCUUAUAUGAUAAAACAUGAUUAAUAUUUUAUGCGUGACUUAUUUUUUUAAUUUUUUUCAUAAUUUUUCAAAUAAGACGGACGGUCAAACGUUGGACACGGAAACUAGGGUUUGUCUUUUU
RNAcentral lists this microRNA precursor (165 nucleotides) under Oryza rufipogon (brownbeard rice). RNAcentral's name for it is "MIR812 microRNA precursor family". It matches the Rfam family "MIR812 microRNA precursor family". Lineage: Eukaryota; Viridiplantae; Streptophyta; Magnoliopsida; Poales; Poaceae. The record is from Rfam by way of RNAcentral.